UGAUUAUUGCAUUUUUGUAGCUGUAGAAAAAUGUUAAAAACAUAAUUUUAGAAAGAACCAUUUAUAAUAUCAAAACUGUAAUUGGGAAAAAAUCUGAAAGAAUGUAUAACCUUAAGAAAAAUUUUUUGAAUGACAUUGAGGAUUACUUAAGUAAAUGAAGUGAUAGCAUAUGUUCAUGGAUAGGAAAAUUUAACAUUAUAAAGAUGAAUUCUCUUCAGUUUCUCUAUUAUAUAGUCAAUGCAACUCCAAUAAAAAUCUCAAUCGGAUUAUGUGAAGCUUUGAUAAACUGAUUUUUAAAUUCACAAAGAAGCAUCAACAAUAGACAAUAUGCUUCUGAAAAAGAAGCAUAAGGAGAGAGGAUCUGCACUUUAUUAUGAAGCUGUAGCAGUUAAGACUAUAUGGUACAAACCUAGUGAGAGACAAAUUGACCAGUAGAUUAGAAAAGACAGCCCAGAAACAGAUUCACUCAAAUACCAAACUGAAAUACAGUAGAGCUAGCAUGGGAGCUAGAUGGGUAAAGGAGGAACUUUUUAUUAAAUAAAGCCAAGAAAAAAUUGUUACUGUAGCAGAGGGUUUUUUUUGUGUCCACCAGAAACAAAUAAUAAAAUGUCUUACUCAGAGUCACACUUUCAAUAAAUGAUUCUGACCCUUAACUUCUAUAUACAAUCCUCAUUGUGUUACCUUUAAGAAGCUGCUUAACUCCCUUGGGUCUUCAUUUCAUCAUUCAUAAAAUUGGAAUAGCAUCUACCUGCAGUUCUUCUCAGGCUGUCGAAGCAGGGAGAAGCAAAGAGUCUGCUUUUAACAUUUUGGUUUCUGGUUUUUGAAGUAUCACAUAGGAUGAAGAGGGGAAAGAAAAGAAAUGUGACAUUCCACAUGGCGCCACUAGGUGGCAGUCGAUGAUUAUUGUGGGGCUCGUAUCACCCUUGACUGGCCAGCAGGGGGCUGACGUCCAUGAAGUUUGGAAAGCGAUCCAAUUUGAAGUAGGAUAGCAAAGGGACCCAUGUUACUUCUGGGUGGUUAUUCAUGGAUGGUAGUAAGGACAGCUAUUCCUGCCAGUGUAGGGCAGUGUCUAUGAAACCAGCCUCUGGAAUGGUCAUUCCCAGUCUCAGAUUCUGGAUCUAACAGGAUUACUAACUUAACUUUGCUACCAGUUACGUUGCUUAACCUCACUGACCCUCAGUUUCUUCACGUGUGAGAUGGUGUUGCCCGCUUAUGGGGUUGUUUCGAGGUCCUCAAACACAAGCGAGUGCUCAGCACAUGGUAAGAGCCCUAGGAUUACCAGCAACGCGCUCAUCCUCGUCGCCAUCAUCUUUAUCAUCCCAUUCCUUUCCCACACUUCAGAGCCUCUGAAUCUUGGUCCUGAAAUUCAAGUCCCCAAGGCCAGCAGGGUCUGAAGCUGCUCAGGCCACGUCUUCCCCUGUGAGGCUUUGGGGCAGAGCACCGGGCCCGAACUGGCUCUUCAGGGCGAGCCCAUUUCCACUUCUGCUGCUGCAUCUCUGUGAGAGUAGAUACCUUGUGGAAACAUGGGCUGUAAACUGUAAAGCCCUCUAAAGGUGUAAAGCGUCGUUAUAGCUGGUAUAAUUCUCUCGACUCUUACAGGGCUACUGGGUAAGAAGAAAAGAAUGAGACUUAUGGCCCUUGGGUCCCCGCUGAGGGCAGUUCCCCUUCACGGCUUCCUAGCUUCAGGGAGCCCAAGUGACUCCCAUGUCACCCUCUCCUCCCCAAAUUCCUGGUGAGGCCUGGCUGCCACCUGGUGAGGCCUGCCAGUCUGGUUUUCUCUGGCUUCCCUCUGCCGUGUUUGGCCAGUGCAGGGCGGGUAGGGGGUGUGUGAACGCCGUGGUGAUGGGUUGGGCAGCCGGCUGAGGAGGGGGAGGGCAAAGGUGCAGGCCCAGGCCUGGGUUCAGCUUCAGCCUGGAGCUCCCUGAGGCGGGAGUUGCUGGAAGGAGGACACUCGUGGGGCUGGGGCCCUACAGUUCUCUGUACUACGCCAGCUCCUGAUAUGGGGCCAGACUUAAGAAAACCAGUACUGGGGGGCUUCCCUGGUGGUGCAGUGGUUAAGAAUCUGCCUGCCAAGGCAGGGGACAUGGGUUCGAGCCCUGGUCCGGGAGGAUCCCACAUGCCACAGAGCAACUAAGCCCGUGCGCCGCAACUAUUGAGCCUGCGCUUUAGAGCCCACGAGCCACAACUGCUGAGCCCACGUGCCACAACUACUGAAGCCCGCGCGCCUGGAGCCUGUGCUCCGCAACAAGAGAAGCCACGGCAAUGAGAAGCCCCAUGCACCGCAACAAAGAGUAGCCCCCGCUCGCCGCAACCAGAGAAAGCCUGCGUGCAGCAACGGGGACCCAACACAGCCAAAAAUAAAUAAAUAAUUUUUUUUUAAAAAAGGAAACCAGUACCAGGGAGCUGGGCGCAUGCCCAGUUUACAGAUAACUGUGCAGUUUGCAGUUAUGCUUUAGGAGAAUGGAGGGGAGGGGCUUGCUGGAGCAGAAUAUGUUCCAGAGUAUAAAGGUCUGUGCAGUAUCGAGCCACCUUCUCACAUGCCUUUCAAACGCUGAACUGUUCCUGCCUCAGAGGCACUCUGUGUGCAGGCCUGCCAUUGCUCUGUGCUUGCCACUCUUCUCUGCCACCUGGAUCUGCCUUUAUCCUUUAGGCCCAGUCAAGUUCCCUUCUUGGAAUACGUCCUGGCUCACAGGGCGCUUUCCUUGGCUGACUCCUGCAGCCCCUGCGAGCCACCCCAUAGAAGUGACACAGCACAUCCUGCUCUAUAAUGACAUUCAUGAGUCUGUCCUCCAGGUUGGAAACUCCCCAAGAGCAGGGACCACGUCAUUCAGUCAUUGGUUCAUUCAUCCAUUUGUUCAGCAAAUAUUGAUUGAGCACCUGUUGCCUGGAGGGCCCUGUUUUUGGUGCUGGUAUUUGCACAGGAAGCCAGGCCUGAAAUCCGGCUCCUGACUCCUGCCUGGCCCAGUGCUCUUUCCAACAGCCCCUCUGCCCCACCCUCAUGCCCCAGAGCCUGGCCCUCUGGUUGGACUUCAGGCAGGCAGGGUUCAGGGCCCACCUUCCUCUCAGCCCAGACAGGCAAUCCCCUGUGUUUGGACGGCUGGGAGGCACCUCUCCACCAUCUCUGGACGCUACCAAUCAAGGAGCGAUAGGGAGACAUCCUUUCCUCUCUGGUCUCUGCAGCCUCCCACGGUGUCCAUGGGCACCAGGUCCAGGCUCGCCGGGUCUGGCUGGAGCCCUGGUCAGCCACUCCUGGCCACGGGACCUCGGGCAACUCGCUACCUCUCUAAGCCUGGUUUCCUCACGUCUAAAAAGGAGAUAGCAAGAGUAUCUUCUCCCUGAGAGUUUUCUGAGAUUCUACACGUUCGAGAAAUGGUAGUUCCUGUGCUCCCCUGCCCCACUCCCAACCAUAGGCCCGAGGUCUGCAGUCAACUCCCGUCCACGGCAGGCCCCAACCUAGCAGACUCGGAGUUAGGAGGCCCAUCUCUCUCCUCUAGCACCCAGCCCUAGAUAGAGUAAUAAUAAUAAUAAUAAUAAUAGUUACAUCUCUCUUUUUGGUAGUACGUACUCUGUGCCAGGCACUGUUACAAGCACUUCACAUGUAUUAACUUGUAUAAUCUUCACUACAGCCAUAUGAAGGGAGUACCAUUAUCACCCCCCUUUUCCAGAUGAUGAAAGUGAGAGACAGAGAGGUUAAGCAACUUGCCCAAGAUCACACAGCUAAUAAGUAGCCAUCAGAAAGCAAGAGAUACUCUGUGUAAUUAUUGUAGCGCUUGUUGCCACAGCAAUGGCCAAGGUAAAAAGGUAAGCCUAGGAUAUGUGAAGUGGGGCAUAAAAGAUGUCCAACACACGUAGGCCCCUUCCCAAGGCACCCAGAUGCCCUGUGAGCCCAGCCUCUGCUGUCUCAUGCUCCAUUUGGGCCCACUGGGCUGUGCUGCAUGGUGUCAGAAGCGGGUGGUCCAUGCCCCCUCUCCUGGGUACACAGGGCUUCCAGGGAAUUCUCCCAGUUUGCCUGAGCCCACAAUCAUUCACUGCUCUUUGAAGUGAAAACCACCGUGCUCACACCCGCCCCCCCAGGAGUAAAUCAUCAGGUUCCCAAAUAUGUUUCCGAGUGUAAAUUUCCUCCAAAACGUUUAACUCUAAGCACUUCCUAAAUUGCUUAUGAGAGUCCGAAAUGCCAUGUUCCAUCCUGCUUCUGUUCUAAGGAUCAAAGCAGGGGCAACAGCCAGAGAAAUGCCGGGCUGAGGGGCCGUUCAGGACAACUCAGCCACCGGGGGCGGGGCGGGGCGGGGGGAUUUCUUAAGAGCCCGUAGCACCCUCAGCUCACUCAGGGCUCUUGGUGGUACAAAGACAGAAGCAGGAGGGCAGGGCUCACGUCUGCUGUCUCAGCACUGAGGUUCUGUACAAGAUUUCAUUUGGAAGGAGGUUCUGUGCUAAAAAUAAAAAUUGCUACUGGGCUACAUUAUCACUAAGGUCUUCAUGGGCUCCCAUCUCCUGGGGCUCGUUUGUUCAUUCCACAAAUAUCACUUGAAUGCCAGGACCUCAGAGGCACAGAAGAUCCCGUGGUGGAUAAAAGUGUUAUAGUCUCCGCCCUCGUGGAGGUCAAAACCCAAGAUGGAAAAAGACAAAAAGCAAGAAAACAAUGAUUAAAUAAAAUAAUUACACAAUGUGGUGGGUACCAUGAAGGAAAUCAACAUGGUGAUGGGAUCUGGAGUAACCUGGGGCCUUCUCUGAGAAGUUUAAGCUGAGCCCUGGAGGAUGAAAAGGAACCAGACUUGGCGAGAACCAGGGGAAGAGCAUUCUUGGUGUGGGGAACCGCAGGUGCAAAGGCCCUGUGGCAGAAAAGAGGUAAGCGUCUACUAUGGCUGGAGCAGAGGGAGGGAGGGAGAAGGACGGCCUGAGUUGGGUUUAUUCUAAAUGCACAGUCAUUGAAGAGUUCUAAGCAAGGGUGAGCUACUAUCCAUUUACAGUUAAAAGAUCACUUUUCUGCUGAGGGGAGAAUGCCUUGCAGGAGGCAAGGAGAUCCAUUAGGAAGCUGCUGUAGGAGAGGAGGACAAUGGGCUGCGGGUGGCUGUAGAGAGGAGGCAAGUGGACGGUCUGAGUCGGAGCUGGUUAGAUUUGCUGAAGGACCUGGUAUGGGGGGGCGGAUGCAGGGGUGAGAAUCAGAUGUUCUGAAAAUGUACAACAGACCCCGUUUUCCCACCUGCAUGAGGUGGGUGUUCCCAGAGACGCCUCCUCCUUUGCCCUGACUGCCCGGUGGUCUUCUCUUUGUUCUGCGUCACCUGCCACACUGGUUUCUCUGUGCUCAGAUACUCCGAGCUCGUUUCAGCCUCCAGACCUUUGCACUGCCUGGGACGCUAGUCCCUGAUCUCCUCGUGGUCGGUAACUUCUUGUCUUGGGGGCCUGAGCUCAGCCAUCCCCUCCCCUAGCCACCUUCUCUGAACACACAACUGGUACCCCCUACUCAGACCCCCUCCACCCAGGCACUCUCUAUCACGUCACCCUAUUUUAUGUUCUUUCACUAUCUGAAAGGAUCUUGCCCAUUUACCUGCUUGUUCUUUUCCCCACCUGGCUCCACUAGAAUGCAGACUCCGCGAAGGCAGACAGAACAGCGCCUGUCUCCGUCAACUCCCCCCACGCGCAGGGGUGGCUGGGGGCGGCCCUGCAGUGCUAGAUAUGCCCACAAGAGGGCGCCCAUAAAUUUCCUUUUCAGUUUCUGGCUGGAAAAUCUCCCAGGAGUAAAACUAACAGAACCCUAACUGAAAUUUCACAAUUUGCCUAGUAUCUGUAGUAUAUACCCAUACUGUCAUGUAUCAUGGUCUUUCAUGUUUCUGGGAGUAAAAUAAAAUGUUUUUCUGUGGGAUUUUGAGAUACCGCCUUGAGACGGGGAAGGGAAUCUGCAUGGGACCCUGGCUCACUCCCACACCUCUUCUCUGCUAAGCUUUCACUGACUCUUACUUGAGCCAGCUUGUCCUUAUGUCUCCACUGAUUGUAGCCAGAGACAGAUUAUCUUCAGCUAGAUGGAACCUAAAUUAACAUUUUCUUGACCAUAAAUAUAUAUUUGGCUAUGACGCAGAGAUUUCCCAACCAACUGGGUAAGACUAAGGAAAUGUCAGUUAAGAUCAAUCAGUGAAGGCUGGUAAGGGUUUGACAUAAUAAGGGAGCAGAAAGCGCUGGUUGGUGAUUGAGCAUUGCUGUAAUUGGAGGCAGCUGUGAAGCAGCAGAAGGAGCGCGGGGCCAAGAUGGGAGCACAGGAGUGAGUCCUAUUUUGUAUCCUGGUUCUUUUGACUUCUAGACACUUGAUGAUGGCUGUGAGCCUUCUUCUCUGUUUGUGAGAACGAUAGUGCUCUGGCGGACAUGAAAGGUGCUUUGUAAACAGAUGCCACACUCAGGAGCAACAUCUGCUAUAAGAAGAUGCAGAAGACAUGGAGCCAUCAGAAAAAUCACUGUCAAAAGAGGCUCAGUGAAGAUUUUCCCCAGAGUGGACGUCCCUGAUGGGUGGCUGGUAGUCCUGGGUGCUUUGCUUGGACUGAAGGUAUUUAAUGCAACCACCCCGCCCCCAUUUCAAAUGAUCCUGAGGCUUAGAGUUCAGUGGUCUACGCAUUUCUUUUUUUAGGCUUUACCACGUGCCAGACCUUGUGCAAAGCAGGGUGAGGGACGUAAAGAUGGAUGUGCACCAGAAGCCCGUGGCCAAGUAGAGGAAAGAGGAUCUACCAAGAACUGCAAGGCUGACUCUAAGAGGUCAGUGUUUGUGAGCCUGUUUUGUUUUUUUGCGGUAUGCGGGCCUCUCACUGUUGUGGCCUCCCCCGUUGCGGAGCACAGGCUCCGGACGCGCAGGCUCAGCGGCCAUGGCUCACGGGCCCAGCCGCUCCACGGCAUGUGGGAUCUUCCCGGACCGGGGCACGAACCCGUGUCCCCUGCAUCGGCAGGCGGACUCUCAACCACUGCGCCACCAGGGAAGCACUGGUGAGCCUGUUUGAUUAAAGUCUGUCUCUUGCUGCUAGACAGGAAGCCGCAGGAAGCCAGGGGAUAGGGUUUUUGUCUUGUUCCAUAUUGAAUCCCCAGUGCUGAAUGGUGCUUGGUCUGUGAUAGGAACUCAGUAUAUACUUGCAGAAUGAGGGAAAUAGUGUCAUCUAAAAGAGAUUAAGAAAAUGUGCUGUGGGGGUUGGAGAGGUAGAGAUUAGUCUCAGCUGGGGACAUCACAUGAUCAAAACUGAGAGGGACCAUCAAGGUUAGGGUUAGUGUUCCCACUGCUGCUCUCAGGCCCAUUUUACAAAUGAGGAAACUGUCACAGAGGGGAAAAGGGAUUUGCCCAGGGUCACACAGUGUUAAGGGCCGAAUUUUGCCCCUUCACCCCCAAUUCAUAUAUUGAAGUCUUAACACCUAAUACCUCAGAACGUGACUGAAUUUGGAAGUAGGGUCUUUAAAGAAGAAAGUUAAAAUGAGGUGAUUUUGGGGCCCUAAUCCACAUGACUAGUGUCGUUAUAAGAAGAGGAGAUUAGGUCACAGAUAACAUGCACAGAGGGAAGAUGAUGUGAAGACACAGGGAGAAGACGGCCGUCUGCAAGCCAAGGAGAGAGGCAUUAGAAGAAACAACCCUGCUGACACCUUGAUCUUGGACUCUGGCCUUUAGAAUUGUGAGAAAAUAAAUUUCUGUUGUUUAAGCCAGCCAGCCUGUGGUAUUUUGUUAUGGCAACCCUAAGCCAACUAAUACACACAGUAAAGUUUGGACUAGAAGCCAGGUCUGCUGAAUCUCUCUCCUAAGCCCUUUACAUGACACCAUCCAGAUGGUCCAUUUGGUACUCUCUCCAACACCCACUGCUGAUGAGGAGGAUGACGAUGAUAACAGCUAACGCACGUAUACUGCCUAUCAUGUAUCACACACGCUUCUCAGUACUUUACACACAAUAGCUCAUUUAGUUCUCCCAACAGCCCUGUUAAGUAAGCAUUAUUUAUUGUCCCAUUUAAAAAAAAAAUUAUUUAUUUUAUUUAUUUUUGGCUGCGUUGGGUCUUCGUUGCUGCGUGCAGGCUUUCUCUAGUUGCGGUGAGCAGAGGCUACUCUUUGUUUCGGUGCAUGGGCUUCUCACUGUGGUGGUUUCUCUUGCUGUGGAGCACAGGCUCUAGGAGCACGGGCUUCAGUAGUUGUGGCACGUGAGCUCAGUAGUGGUGGCUCGCGGACCCUAGAGCGCAGGCUCAGUAGUUGUGGCGCACGGCCUUAGUUGCUCCACGGCAUGUGGGAUCUGCCCAGAGCAGGGAUCGAACCCCUGUCCCCUGCAUUGGCAGGAGGGUUCUUUAACCACUGUGCUACCACGGAGGUCCCUAUUUUCCCAUUUUUACAGAUGAGGAAACUGAAACACAAAGAGAUUGAGCAACUUGCCCGAGAGCAUAUGACAACUCAGUGCUUGUACUGGGAUUCAGGCCCAGGCAGUCUGCUCCAGGAACGUGCCCUCACCCAUCUGGCUGUUCUCCAGUGUUAUGUCUACAUGCCAAGCCAGAGGCAUUUUCAAAGAUGAGAGGUAAUGAUGGCCCUUUGAGGCCUCACUGGGUUUGCUUUCCUAUAGCCAUAAAUUAUGGAUAUACUCAUCCCAAUCUGAAGUGGCUCACUGGAAGCAUAAAACAAACAAGCAGAGGGAAGCAGGAGCCUUGCUAAAGAGUAGAGCAUUAGGAUUUAUUUGUUCCAGAAUCUUCUUAUAUGUUAGGACAUCAGUGAGGAAACAUUGAAAUAGCAGAUUUCAAGCCUCCCUCAAGCAAAAACAUCUUUUUUUUUUUUUUUGCAGUACGCGGGCCUCACUGUUGUGGCCUCUCCCGUUGUGGAGCACAGGCUCCGGACGCGCAGGCUCAGCGGCCAUGGCUCACGGGCCCAGCCGCUUCGCGGCAUGUGGGAUCUUCCCGGACCGGGGCACGAACCCGUGUCCCCUGCAUCGGCAGGCAGACUCUCAACCACUGCGCCACCAGGGAAGCUCCAGCAAAAACAUCUUCUAAUUCAGUCCUUAAAAGUGAAACAACCAAACCGCUUCAGCCAAAGCCCUUUGCAGUAAGAGGCCUGGGUUUGAAUCCUUUCUCAACCACUUACCAGCUGAGUGACUUGGGGUUUAUGAAAUCCAUCUGAACCACAGUUUUUCCUUCUGGGAGAUGGGGAAAAUGACACCCAUCUCAUGGAUUAGACAUAAUAUAUUCAAAAACAUUGUCACAGGUGCCUAUACAUAGUAAGUGAUCAAUAAACAGAACUCUUGUUAGCUAAGCAAAAUGACCAUACCUAAAGGCUCUCCUCUGUGAAGCCUUGCCCAAUGUCUCAUCCUGUCUGUCCAAAUUCAUUGCUUGCUCUACUGGCUCUUGAGGGAAGUUGCUUGCACUUCUAUUUGUCACUCAGUUUGUCCUUCCUUCCAUCAUAGAAGUUGAUGACACACCUAUCCAUCUGUGCAUCCACUCAGUAAAAUUGUAGCAUUUUUUUAAUGUCCCAGUGCUGUGCCAGGCACUGGAAGUU
Molecule: long non-coding RNA, 9481 nt
Organism: Orcinus orca (killer whale)
Lineage: Eukaryota; Metazoa; Chordata; Mammalia; Artiodactyla; Delphinidae
Exons: 3
Source: RefSeq, a predicted model, not a curated record